AGUGGCUUAAGGACAAGUCUCUUGAUGUCCUUGAGUGGCCCAGCCAGAGCCCGCCCGGACUUGAACCCAAUCAAACAUCUCUGGAGAGACCUGAAAAUAGCUGUGCAGCAACGCUCCCCAUCCAACCUGACAGAGCUUGAGAGGGUCUGUAGAGAUGAAUGGCAGAAACUCCCCAAAUAUGUAUAAAAACCAGUUUUUGCUUUGUCAUUAUGGGGUAUUGUGUAUAGAUUGAUGGGGGGAAAACUAUUGAAUACGUUUUAGAAUAAGGCUGUAACAUAGCAAAAUGUGGAAAAAGGCAAGGGGUCUGAACACUUUCCGAAGGCACAGUAUAUAAGGAUUUAGAGAAAACACUGCCAAAAUGUAAAUAAUCCCGAGAUGGCUUAUAUUUAAACCACACCAAUAGUAAGAAGUCACCCUCAAAGCACAAGAACAUUAAAAAUAGAUAUUAUGGUUGAAAAGACACUGAAAAUAUGUAUUUUGGUUGAAAUGACAUUGAAAUUAAAUUGACAAUACUUAUUUCAAAAACAUUUGCUCACUGGGUAACUUCACUCUUUUGCAAAUGUCCCUCUUUCCUCCCUGUCCUUUUCAUCCAAAGAGUGUAACUCUAAUCUGUGUGUGUGGGCUGAACAUGUCACAGUUCUUCCAUGGCCUGCUUAGUCACCAGACAUGUUCCCCACUGAACAUGUCACAGUUCUUCCAUGGCCUGCUUAGUCACCAGACAUGUUCCCCACUGAACAUGUCACAGUUCUUCCAUGGCCUGCUUAGUCACCAGACAUGUUCCCCACUGAACAUGUCACAGUUCUUCCAUGGCCUGCAUAUUCACCAGACAUGUUCCCCACUGAACAUGUCACAGUUCUUCCAUGGCCUGCAUAUUCACCAGACAUGUUCCCCACUGAACAUGUCACAGUUCUUCCAUGGCCUGCUUAGUCACCAGACAUGUUCCCCACUGAACAUGUCACAGUUCUUCCAUGGCCUGCAUAUUCACCAGACAUGUUCCCCACUGAACAUGUCACAGUUCUUCCAUGGCCUGCUUAGUCACCAGACAUGUUCCCCACUGAACAUGUCACAGUUCUUCCAUGGCCUGCAUAUUCACCAGACAUGUUCCCCACUGAACAUGUCACAGUUCUUCCAUGGCCUGCUUAGUCACCAGACAUGUUCCCCACUGAACAUGUCACAGUUCUUCCAUGGCCUGCAUAUUCACCAGACAUGUUCCCCACUGAACAUGUCACAGUUCUUCCAUGGCCUGCUUAGUCACCAGACAUGUUCCCCACUGAACAUGUCACAGUUCUUCCAUGGCCUGCAUAUUCACCAGACAUGUUCCCCACUGAACAUGUCACAGUUCUUCCAUGGCCUGCAUAUUCACCAGACAUGUUCCCCACUGAACAUGUCACAGUUCUUCCAUGGCCUGCUUAGUCACCAGACAUGUUCCCCACUGAACAUGUCACAGUUCUUCCAUGGCCUGCAUAUUCACCAGACAUGUUCCCCACUGAACAUGUCACAGUUCUUCCAUGGCCUGCAUAUUCACCAGACAUGUUCCCCACUGAACAUGUCACAGUUCUUCCAUGGCCUGCUUAGUCACCAGACAUGUUCCCCACUGAACAUGUCACAGUUCUUCCAUGGCCUGCUUAGUCACCAGACAUGUUCCCCACUGAACAUGUCACAGUUCUUCCAUGGCCUGCUUAGUCACCAGACAUGUUCCCCACUGAACAUGUCACAGUUCUUCCAUGGCCUGCUUAGUCACCAGACAUGUUCCCCACUGAACAUGUCACAGUUCUUCCAUGGCCUGCAUAUUCACCAGACAUGUUCCCCACUGAACAUGUCACAGUUCUUCCAUGGCCUGCUUAGUCACCAGACAUGUUCCCCACUGAACAUGUCACAGUUCUUCCAUGGCCUGCAUAGUCACCAGACAUGUUCCCCACUGAACAUGUCACAGUUCUUCCAUGGCCUGCUUAGUCACCAGACAUGUUCCCCACUGAACAUGUCACAGUUCUUCCAUGGCCUGCUUAGUCACCAGACAUGUUCCCCACUGAACAUGUCACAGUUCUUCCAUGGCCUGCUUAGUCACCAGACAUGUUCCCCACUGAACAUGUCACAGUUCUUCCAUGGCCUGCUUAGUCACCAGACAUGUUCCCCACUGAACAUGUCACAGUUCUUCCAUGGCCUGCUUAGUCACCAGACAUGUUCCCCACUGAACAUGUCACAGUUCUUCCAUGGCCUGCUUAGUCACCAGACAUGUUCCCCACUGAACAUGUCACAGUUCUUCCAUGGCCUGCAUAUUCACCAGACAUGUUCCCCACUGAACAUGUCACAGUUCUUCCAUGGCCUGCUUAGUCACCAGACAUGUUCCCCACUGAACAUGUCACAGUUCUUCCAUGGCCUGCAUAGUCACCAGACAUGUUCCCCACUGAACAUGUCACAGUUCUUCCAUGGCCUGCAUAUUCACCAGACAUGUUCCCCACUGAACAUGUCACAGUUCUUCCAUGGCCUGCUUAGUCACCAGACAUGUUCCCCACUGAACAUGUCACAGUUCUUCCAUGGCCUGCUUAGUCACCAGACAUGUUCCCCACUGAACAUGUCACAGUUCUUCCAUGGCCUGCUUAGUCACCAGACAUGUUCCCCACUGAACAUGUCACAGUUCUUCCAUGGCCUGCUUAGUCACCAGACAUGUUCCCCACUGAAUGUUUGGGAUGCCCUGGAUCGACUUUUAAGACAGCUCUUUCCAGUUCCAGACAAUAUCCAUCAACUUCACACAGCUAUUGAAGAGGAGUAAGACAACAUUUCACAGGCCACAAUCAACAGCAUGAUCAACUCUACGUGAAGGAGAUGUGUAGCGCUGCAUGAGUCAAAUGGUGGUCACGCCGGAUAUUGACUGGUUUUCUGAUCCACGCUGCUACCUUUUUAAGGUAUCUGUGACCAACAGAUGCAUAUCUGUAUUCCCAGUGAUGCAAAAUCCAUAAAUUAGGGCCUAAUUAAUUGAUUUAAAUGGACUGAUUUACUUAUAUGAACUGUAACUCAGUAAAAUCUUUGAAAUUGUUGCAUGUUGGGUUUAUAUAUUUUUGUUCGGUAUAUAUCUACUGGUACCUCAUCCACCCCAUGGAUAUUAUCCAUGUAAAAUGUUAAUUGUUACAUAUGUAAACCAAUGUUCUGAGUCUUUACAGUGAUCCUGUAGGCUGUGAUGACAAAGCCAAAGCUUUUCUGUUCAAAGCUCUUAAAACCAUAACCUUUACCUUAGGCCUACUGUGGGGAAUCCUGGACUGAAGAGGCUUCUACUAACUCCUCUUAAUACACACAAGCCACAAGCACUCACACAUACAACCACGCACACGCGCACACAC
Molecule: long non-coding RNA, 3335 nt
Filed under: Oncorhynchus kisutch (coho salmon)
Lineage: Eukaryota; Metazoa; Chordata; Actinopteri; Salmoniformes; Salmonidae
Description: lncRNA (ENSOKIG00005025173.1)
Source: RNAcentral